Molecule: ribosomal RNA, 465 nt
Filed under: uncultured Klebsiella sp.
Lineage: Bacteria; Pseudomonadati; Pseudomonadota; Gammaproteobacteria; Enterobacterales; Enterobacteriaceae
Description: bacterial SSU rRNA
Rfam family: Bacterial small subunit ribosomal RNA
Source: RNAcentral
CCUACGGGCGGCAGCAGUGGGGAAUAUUGCACAAUGGGCGCAAGCCUGAUGCAGCCAUGCCGCGUGUGUGAAGAAGGCCUUCGGGUUGUAAAGCACUUUCAGCGGGGAGGAAGGCGUUAAGGUUAAUAACCUCGGCGAUUGACGUUACCCGCAGAAGAAGCACCGGCUAACUCCGUGCCAGCAGCCGCGGUAAUACGGCGGGUGCAAGCGUUAAUCGGAAUUACUGGGCGUAAAGCGCACGCAGGCGGUCUGUCAAGUCGGAUGUGAAAUCCCCGGGCUCAACCUGGGAACUGCAUUCGAAACUGGCAGGCUAGAGUCUUGUAGAGGGGGGUAGAAUUCCAGGUGUAGCGGUGAAAUGCGUAGAGAUCUGGAGGAAUACCGGUGGCGAAGGCGGCCCCCUGGACAAAGACUGACGCUCAGGUGCGACAGCGUGGGGAGCAAACAGGAUUAGAUACCCUAGUAGUC